Molecule: non-coding RNA, 2580 nt
Organism: Nylanderia fulva
Lineage: Eukaryota; Metazoa; Arthropoda; Insecta; Hymenoptera; Formicidae
Source: RefSeq, a predicted model, not a curated record
UUUGGCCAAUAUUAGGACAUCUCGUAGGAACUAAAAAUUAUCCAUUCAUUAUUGCUAUUUAUUUUGGGAAUUCUGAUCCAAAUAAUGUGAAAGAGUUUUUGCAAGAUUUUGUAACUGAAGUUGAUAAUCUAAUUUCUAAUGGUUAUGUACGAUAUGGAAAAACUUUUAUUUUUUUAAUUAGACAUUAUAUUCUUGAUGCUCCAGCUAGAGAAUUAAUAAAAUGUUGUAUAGGCCAUAAUGGAUAUGCUUCAUGUGAAAAAUGUACAGUAUGGGGAGAACGAUUAGAUUAUAGGCAAACGUAUAUUGAUUUACAUGCUCCUUUAAGAACUGACGAAAGUUUUAAAAAUCAAAUGCAACCUCGCCAUCAUAAAGGAGUAUCACCUCUUCUUCAACUUAAUACCAAAAUGGUCUCUCAGUUUCGAUUAGAGCCUAUGCAUUUGGUAUAUGAAGGUGUGUUUAAGAGAUUAUUAGAAGCAUGGAAGAAUUGGAUAAGUCCAUGGAAACUACACUGGACUGUUGUAAACAGAAUAUCUGAUAGGCUGAUUCUGUUAGCCCCUUCUUGUCCUCAGGACUUUGCUCGAAAACCCAGAUCUUUACAUGAAUUAUCAUUUUACAAAGCAACGGAAUUCCGUCGUUUAUGUUUAUACGAUGGCAUAGCAGCUUUUGCUUCACAUCCUGAUAUAAAUAUUUAUAAGCACUUUCUAUUAUUGCAUUGUGGAAUUUAUAUUCUUACAAGUCCCAUUCUUUAUAAAAGUUUUAACGAGUAUGCAAAUACUCUACUCAGAACUUUUAUCCAACAUUCUAUCACAUUAUUUAGAAAAUUAUUUGUUGUAUAUAAUGUUCACUCUCUUUGCCAUUUGGCACAAGAAUGUAUUGAUCAUGGUUGUUUAGAUACAUUUAGUGCCUUUCGUUAUGAAAACAAAUUAAAAAUGAUUAAAAGUAACCUCAAAUCUGGUUUUAAACCCAUUCAACAAGCAGCAAAACGUGAGCUAGAACAAAUUUGUCGUUUUGAAAUUUAUAAAUGAAGAUGUUGAUUGCGACGAGGAAGACGAUUCUUUAUUUGAAGUUGGUCUUAUUAAAUGGCUAAAACAAUUAGAUGAAGAAACAAAUGCAAAAAUUUCUUGGCCUCCUAAAUCUGAGCAGAGUACUGCAAUUAAAAAAGAAAUAGAUGCACUUCCUUCAUGGCCGAUAUAUAAUGUUACUGUUUUAAAAUGUUAUGAUACACUUUUGGCUGCACGAAAUGCACGAAAUGGAUAUAUUAUGUCGUCUAAUUAUGAAACAGAGUGUGAAUUUGGUCGUGGUAAACGUAAAAAAAUUAAGCGGCAGUUUGCAUGUGAUGAAUCUCUCUCGACAAAAGUGACAAAAAAGAAGAAAUUUAAAAAUAUUUUAACUUCUGAUGAUUCAGAUUUUGAUAGAGAUGAUAGUGCUAUAAAAAAAUAUAAAUUUAAACAUGCUCCUUCUCCGCCAUUUAUCUUGUUUCGAUCAGAAAAUAAUAAAGUAAAACAAUAUCAAAACAAUAUUAUCACAGAUAGCAAAACAAAAAAAUUUGAAAGAUUACAGAAAAAUAAACAAUUAGAAAAAAAAAAUGACGCAAUGUUGACAUUUUCUAAAAAUCAUAAAUCUAAAAAGGAUCUCUUACUUACAAAAAUAUGUCAAGCAAGGAAGGUAACUUCAGUUACGGAUAACAAAACAAAAAUCAUAGAGAUUGCAAGAGAAAAACAGAAAUGUUUAAUAGAAGAUAAUAUGGAUUCUGAUAAUGCUACAGAAGAAAAUAUUGAUCCUAAUAUUCCACGAGAGGACGAUUUUUCAAUGAAAGUUCAGGAUAUCAAAUAAAGAUGUAUCUCCAAGUACAAGUGCAAGAUCGAUAAAUAUAGAGACACCAGGUACAUCAAAAGAUUACUGUAUUUAUGAAGCAAAUAUAUCUGAUGAAAAAUCAUCAUCUUCAAUAUGCACUUCUCCAUCAGAAUUACGUCAAAAGAGUCCAGUUACUUCACAUGUGACAGCUGUAACUACACCGAGUUCAUCUUGUAGAUCAAGUAGUGUAUUAGAUGUGUCUAAAGCGACCUUUGAUAUGAAAGCUUUUGAAAAAAAGAUGUAUUCGUUAAAUUAAGAAAUUAGUAGCAAAUUAGAUAUGAUUACUAUGAAUUUAUGCAGAUUAAAUCGCUUUCUUCUACCACAUGAGAAAAGAAUAAUAAGACCAGCAGAUCUUCCAGCACUUCCAUUGACAACAGAGGAAGAAUUAGAAAAAUUUGAAAAAUAUUUAACGAAAGAUGAUAAUGCUGGUGCAACUAUUUGUUACAUGAGUCAAAUUAUUGGUCCUAAAGACAAUAUUAAGGAAGCUACAUAUAAAGUACUAAGGAAACUUAUUUCAAACACAUUGGCAGCAGACUUUACUUUAAAAAGUGGUAAACAUUUAUCCAAAAAAUGUUUCGAAAAGCUGAUGCUGUAUGAAGUUGUUCAAGGUGCCAUUUUAGACAAAAGGCCAGAAACAGAAAUCCCAGAGAUUGAUGCAGCUACUUCACUGUGGCUAAAGCAAGCACCUUGGCGUCGCCAAGAUGACGGCAGUAUGGGGAAAAGAAU